GGGGGGGGGGGGGGGGGGGGGGGGGGGGGGGGGGGGGGGGGAGGGGCGGGGGGGCGGGCUGCGCGGGUGGUAGCGGCGGGCGGGGGAGUACGCGGUGGAGGGCCUGCGUAUAAGAGUGGGAGGAGUGCGGGAGAAGGGGGGUGAGAGCGGGGACUCGUUUGAGCGGCAUGGUGCGACAGGGCAGGACGCUCUUGCUGUCACUUAUAGAUGGAUCCGCGCGGCAUGAUCGCGUGGGUAAGGUGACGGCUUACCAAGGCAACGAUGCAGAGCCGAUCCGAGAGGGUGAUCGGCCACACUGGAACUGAGACACGGUCCAGACUCCUACGGGAGGCAGCAGUAGGGAAUCUUCCGCAAUGGGCGAAAGCCUGACGGAGCAACGCCGAGUGAGUGAUGAAGGUCUUCGGAUCGUAAAACUCUGUUAUUAGGGAAGAACAUAUGUGUAAGUAACUGUGCACAUCUUGACGGUACCUAAUCAGAAAGCCACGGCUAACUACGUG
This 497-nucleotide ribosomal RNA is filed under the name uncultured bacterium. Its description in RNAcentral is "partial 16S ribosomal RNA". The stretch from base 53 to 497 matches the Rfam family "Bacterial small subunit ribosomal RNA", at positions 39 to 507 of the family's 1533-position model. The record is from RNAcentral.